GAAAAUCCGUCGACUUUAGAAAUCGUGAGGGUUCAAGUCCUUUAUCCCC
Molecule: transfer RNA, 49 nt
Filed under: Neostrearia fleckeri
Lineage: Eukaryota; Viridiplantae; Streptophyta; Magnoliopsida; Saxifragales; Hamamelidaceae
Description: partial tRNA-Leu
Source: RNAcentral